This 108-nucleotide small nucleolar RNA is filed under the name Mesocricetus auratus (golden hamster). RNAcentral's name for it is "Small nucleolar RNA SNORA33 (ENSMAUG00000005082.1)". The record is from RNAcentral. Lineage: Eukaryota; Metazoa; Chordata; Mammalia; Rodentia; Cricetidae.
UUGACAGAAAAGAUGUUGUCAUUUUCAGAAAAAGCUGGUGAUGGUGAUGUCAUCCAAUGAGCCUUCAGGACACUGAAAUCAUCAAUGUCCCUAGAAAUGGUGACAAAU